This 525-nucleotide ribosomal RNA is filed under the name This canus. RNAcentral's name for it is "partial 16S ribosomal RNA". It matches the Rfam family "Bacterial large subunit ribosomal RNA", at positions 1811 to 2606 of the family's 2925-position model. Lineage: Eukaryota; Metazoa; Arthropoda; Insecta; Diptera; Coelopidae. The record is from RNAcentral.
AAACAUGUCCUUUUGAUUUUUAUUUAAGGUCUAACCUGCCCACUGAUUUAUUAAAUGGCCGCAGUAUUCUAACUGUGCAAAGGUAGCAUAAUCAUUAGUCUUUUAAUUGAAGGCUGGUAUGAAUGGUUGGACGAGAUACUAACUGUUUCAUUUAUAUUUAUUAUAGAAUUUUAUUUUUUAGUUAAAAAGCUAAAAUAUUUUUAAAAGACGAGAAGACCCUAUAAAUCUUUAUAUUUUUUGAGAUAUUAAUAAUAAAGAUAUAUUUUGUUAUUAUGUUAAAAAAUAUUUUAUUGGGGUGAUAUUAAAAUUUAAUAAACUUUUAAUUUUUAAUUACAUUAAUUUAUGGAUUAUUGAUCCGUUUUUAGCGAUUAUAAAUUUAAGUUACUUUAGGGAUAACAGCGUAAUUUUUUUGGAGAGUUCAUAUCGAUAGAAAAGAUUGCGACCUCGAUGUUGGAUUAAGAUUCAUUCUUGGGCGCAGCCGUUCAAGUUUUAAGUCUGUUCGACUUUUUAAAUCUUACAUGAUCU